This 254-nucleotide ribosomal RNA is filed under the name uncultured bacterium. RNAcentral describes it as "partial 16S ribosomal RNA". It matches the Rfam family "Bacterial small subunit ribosomal RNA", at positions 526 to 779 of the family's 1533-position model. The record is from RNAcentral.
CAGAGGUCUCAAGCGUUGUUCGGAUUCAUUGGGCGUAAAGGGUGCGUAGGCGGCGCGGUAAGUCGGGUGUGAAAUCUCGGGGCUUAACUCCGAAACUGCAUUCGAUACUACCGUGCUUGAGGACUGGAGAGGAGACUGGAAUUUACGGUGUAGCGGUGAAAUGCGUAGAUAUCGUAAGGAAGACCAGUGGCGAAGGCGGGUCUCUGGACAGUUCCUGACGCUGAGGCACGAAGGCCAGGGGAGCAAACGGGAUU